UUCAAAUUUGUUGUGCUCCCUUCAUGUGGGGUUCCUACAUAGAAAAUUUAAAACAGAAAAAUAAGGUAAAUAAUAAUCUAUUGUUAAUCCUAUUCCUAAAAAGAAAAAUUAAAAAUUACCCCAAUAGUUAUAAAAUUUUGAAAAAAAACAAAAAUUCUAUCAUCCUCUUUAUAGUCCAUCUCUUCAUUCUCCUGUCUUUCUUUAUCUUCGUUCUCUUCUUGUUCUUCAGUUUCU
RNAcentral lists this long non-coding RNA (234 nucleotides) under Gossypium raimondii (Peruvian cotton). RNAcentral describes it as "long non-coding RNA (GRAI_LNC002651)". Lineage: Eukaryota; Viridiplantae; Streptophyta; Magnoliopsida; Malvales; Malvaceae. The record is from RNAcentral.